GGCCUUUUGAAUUUAAUAUAAGGUCUGACCUGCCCAGUGAUAGUUUUAACGGCCGCGGUAUACUGACCGUGCAAAGGUAGCAUAAUCAUUAGUCUUUUAAUAGAGGGCUGGAAUGAAAGGUUUCACGAGGAACUGACUGUCUCAUUUUAUUUGUUUUAAAAUUUAAUUUUUUAGUUAAAAAGCUAAAAUUUUAUUGGUAGACGAGAAGACCCUAUAGAGCUUUACAUAUAAUUAAAUAAAUAUUUUUAUAUUAAUAUUUUUAUUUAUUUUUGUGUUUUGUUGGGGUGACAAAAAUAUAUAACUAACUUUUUUAUUUACUUUACAUUAAUUUAUGAAUAUUAGAUCCAAUACUAUUGAUUAUUAGACUAAGUUACCUUAGGGAUAACAGCGUAAUCCUCCUCCAGAGUUCAUAUUUACAGGAUGGGCUUGCGACCUCGAUGUUGGAUUAAGAUAAUAAUUAGGUGUAGCGGCUUAAUUGAUAGGUCUGUUCGACCUUUAAAUUCUU
This 505-nucleotide ribosomal RNA is filed under the name Orthetrum melania. Its description in RNAcentral is "partial 16S rRNA". It matches the Rfam family "Bacterial large subunit ribosomal RNA", at positions 1819 to 2597 of the family's 2925-position model. Lineage: Eukaryota; Metazoa; Arthropoda; Insecta; Odonata; Libellulidae. The record is from RNAcentral.